RNAcentral lists this ribosomal RNA (497 nucleotides) under uncultured bacterium. RNAcentral describes it as "partial 16S ribosomal RNA". It matches the Rfam family "Bacterial small subunit ribosomal RNA", at positions 28 to 507 of the family's 1533-position model. The record is from RNAcentral.
GACGAACGCUGGCGGCGUGCCUAAUACAUGCAAGUUGAGCGAUGAAGAUUGGUGCUUGCACCAAUUUGAAGAGCAGCGAACGGGUGAGUAACGCGUGGGGAAUCUGCCUUUGAGCGGGGGACAACAUUUGGAAACGAAUGCUAAUACCGCAUAACAACUUUAAACAUAAGUUUUAAGUUUGAAAGAUGCAAUUGCAUCACUCAAAGAUGAUCCCGCGUUGUAUUAGCUAGUUGGUGAGGUAAAGGCUCACCAAGGCGAUGAUACAUAGCCGACCUGAGAGGGUGAUCGGCCACAUUGGGACUGAGACACGGCCCAAACUCCUACGGGAGGCAGCAGUAGGGAAUCUUCGGCAAUGGACGAAAGGCUGACCGAGCAACGCCGCGGGAGGGAAGAAGGGUUUCGGAUCGUAAAACUCUGUUGGUAGAGAAGAACGUUGGUGAGAGUGGAAAGCUCAUCAAGUGACGGUAACUACCCAGAAAGGGACGGCUAACUACGUG